CCAGGCUCGAAAUGCAGAUGACGUCACCAGAAAUGGUGAUUUUCGCAAGAACAACUGCAUAGGUGCUGCAUGGCUGUCGUCAGCUCGUGCCGUGAGGUGUUGGGUUAAGUCCCGCAACGAGCGCAACCCUUAUCAUUAGUUGCCAACACGUAAUGGUGGGAACUCUAAUGAGACUGCCUAGGUUAACUAGGAGGAAGGUGAGGAUGACGUCAAGUCCGCAUGGCCUUUAUGUCUGGGGCUACACACGUGCUACAAUGGUCGGUACAGAAGGCAGCGAAGUCGUAAGAUGGAGCAAAUCCCUAAAGCCGGCCUCAGUUCAGAUUGUGGUCUGCAACUCGACCACAUGAAGUUGGAAUUGCUAGUAAUGACGAGUCAGCAACAUCGUCGUGAAUACGUUCCC
This 400-nucleotide ribosomal RNA is filed under the name uncultured bacterium. Its description in RNAcentral is "bacterial SSU rRNA". It matches the Rfam family "Bacterial small subunit ribosomal RNA", at positions 975 to 1375 of the family's 1533-position model. The record is from RNAcentral.